GGGCCUGUAGCUCAGUCGGUUUAGAGCACGCCUCUGAUAAGGGCGGGGUCCCUGGUUCAAGUCCAGGCAGGCCCACCA
This 78-nucleotide transfer RNA is filed under the name Chloroflexota bacterium. Its description in RNAcentral is "Chloroflexi bacterium tRNA-Ile". It matches the Rfam family "tRNA". From Rfam's summary of the family: Transfer RNA (tRNA) molecules are approximately 80 nucleotides in length. The record is from RNAcentral. Lineage: Bacteria; Bacillati; Chloroflexota.